GAUAAACGCUGGCGGCGUGCCUGAGACAUGCAAGUCGAACGAAGGCUCGGGCUUGCUCGAUCCUUAGUGGCGGACGGCUGAGUAACGCGUAGGUGACCUACCCCGAAGUGGGGAAUAACUGCCCGAAAGGGUGGCUAAUACCGCAUGUGGUCGCACGUUCAUUCGUGCGAGUAAAGCCGCAAGGCGCUUCGGGAGGGGCCUGCGUCCGAUUAGCUCGUUGGUGGGGUAAUGGCUUACCAAGGCGACGAUCGGUAGGUGGUCUGAGAGGACGAUCACCCAGACUGGGACUGAGACACGGCCCAGACUCCUACGGGAGGCAGCAGUCGGGAAUUUUGCUCAAUGGGGGAAACCCUGAAGCAGCAACGCCGCGUGAGGGAUGAAGGCCUUCGGGUUGUAAACCUCUUUUGUCAGGGACGAUGAUGACGGUACCUGGCGAAUAAGCCACGGCUAACUACGUG
Molecule: ribosomal RNA, 458 nt
Filed under: uncultured bacterium
Lineage: Bacteria
Description: partial 16S ribosomal RNA
Rfam family: Bacterial small subunit ribosomal RNA
Source: RNAcentral